CUCUCACACACACAUAUGCACAGACGCACACACAUGCACACAUACAUACACACACACAAUCAAACACAGAAUCUCUCAGAUAGAGACACACGCACGCACAAUCAAAAUCUCUCUCUCUCUCACACACACACACACACACAAUCUCUCAGACACACACACUCACUCUUUCCCUCUCACACACACACACACACACACACACACACACACACACGUCGAUGGCCCUCUUUAAGACUUUACAUUUUCAUCUAAGAUUUCCUACUUUCCUCUAAUUGGUGUAAGACAGAAGCACUGUGCUUUAAGCCAUGGCAGCUAUUAAAAGGCAAACUGCCACAAAAUGUGCCUCUUAAUUGGCAGAAGAGCGCCUUAAUGAGAACAUAACGUUUGCACUGCUGGAUUAUUUAGCCAGGAGGAGGUGAUCCGGGGGCCUAAUCAAUGAUUAAUAUCACGUAGUUCAACUCCAAAUAGGGAAGGAGCGUUUAACAUUCCCCUCGAGUCUGCCCUGGCCCUGGAGGGGGGCAGGUUGUGCCACAUAUCAAAGGCAGUCAACAGAGUGCCUGUGUGUGUAGGAGGGGGGGGAGGGAGAGGGAGAGGAGGGAGUGAGGGAGGGAGGGAGGAAGAGAGUCAGGGACCCCGGAAAAAAAAGAGAACGGAGCUAAUUCUAAUUCCGUGGCCUGUGUUUGAAUUCGAGCAUGCAGCACUAUACUCCUUCCUCUGUGUCUGCCUGUAGGGCGGCGAUCACCGGUCUGUUGUCAUGGGGGGGGGGGGGGGGGGGGGUGCAGACAGCGGCUGGUGGCUGGCUAGGACACCACCACCUCGGCCCCGCUGUUCAAUGUAGGUCACUUUGGUGGGUGUUUUCCAGCUGGUUGGAGACGGCUGGAUCCUUAUGUCCCUGGCCAUAUACAUCCCAGCAGAGCCGCUUAAUCCAGGGGAUUACAGGCAGGGGCGUCCGUCCUAUCAUAAUGGGCCAUCUUCAGUGUUUUUUUGGGGAAUUGCUGGGUCAAUGUAUGGAGGUGACCAUAGCCUACGUAUCUUCCUUUGUCUCUUUUUGCCAACACCACUAUCCAUGGACUACAUUGACGGUUCAAGUGAUGCAAUAUUUGACAUAAAUUGACACACACACACACACACACACAUUAUAUAUAGUAUAUAUAUUGUAGUAUUUGCUCACACAGAAAUUGUGUGUCUCAACGUAUGCGUUGUGUAACUAUCUGUUGUUUCAAUCCGCUGUAACAACAGGGGCGGAGGCUGGUGAGUCUAAUUGCGGCGUAUUGACAUGUGACUGCAGAGUGGAAACUGGGCUUUAUCCAGGAACCCGCUGUCCCUACAAUCAGAGCCCAAAACAGGAGGGCUUGACGUUGUUGAGUCUAGCAUUACAGUAGUAUAAAUACACCUUUAUUUUAACGUAAGCUUCUGUGUGGAAAUAACCCACCGCCCGUUAUGUGCGUAGGCGGGUGUGCGUUUUUUCAUCUGUGUGCGUUUGUGUUUAUGCGUCUGUGUGCAGGUGUGUGCGAUUAUCCAUCUGUGUGUAUGUGUGUGCGUCCCUGCGUCUGUGUGUAGGCGCACGCAUGUGUGUGUGUGUGUGUGUGUGUGUGUGUGUGUGUGUGUGUGUGUGUGUGUGUGUGUGUGUGUGUGUGUGUGUGUGUGUGUGUGUGUGUGUGUGUGUGUGUUCAUGCGUCUGUGUGCAGGACUGUGUGCGUGUGUGUGUGUGUUUAUCUCCUUGAUUUGAAACAGCUCCCGUUCAGCUGUAAUUACCCGAGCCUCCUUAAACACCACAGCCCUCCACCCUCUCAUCGCUCCGUCCCCGCCUGUGCACAUGCAACCCUCCUCCUCCUCUCCCCUCUGAAAGACAACGGCGCACUUGAGAGAUGGGGCCAGGGGAGGACUGUGGCUGGAAGUUAUUGCGUGGCACACGGACGACGUGUUAUGUCUGCGUCCGCCGCCGCCGCCGCCGCCGCGCGCGACUGCGGCGCACCUGUGUCUAUUUGCGGGUUCCUUCGGUAAACACCAGCUGAUUGGCCGGAGCUGGAGGUGGUGACCGGAGGCUCUGACACACACCUGACGGGAACACCUGACCUCAGGCGGGAUGUUGUUCACGGCGGAGGACCACGAGACGUCCCGCGGGAAAGGGGCGGGGGGGGGGGGCGUGGUCUCACAGCUUUCACAGCAUCACCCUCAUAUAGCAUCACUGGGCUUCUUUGUUAUUUGUUAUUCUUGGUGGGUGAUGAUAGUGUGGCCUUCUAUGCACGCCGCUUUUGUGUAUAAUUAAAUAAUGAAAGGGGGAGAGAGGGGGCGUGGGGGGAGAGAGGGACAAAGGUAGCCUGACUCAACACACCUGGGCGAGCUUUGAUCGAGACCUUGAGAGAAGGCUUCCCUCUGAAGAGCUGAGGGCGCCCUGUAUCAGGUGAACUGAAGAAUGUGGCUCCCUUCUAGGUGGCCCCCUAGACACGCCCCUGUUUCAGGACAGGUGUGCUUUCAGCUGUGUGUGUGUGUGUGUGUGUGUGUGUGUGUGUGUGUGUGUGUGUGUGUGUGUGUGUGUGUGUGUGUGUGUGUGUGUGUCUUUCUAUUGCUUUCUGUGUAUGUGUGCACACGUGUGAUUGCAUAUGUGUGCGUUUGCGUGUGAUUGCGUCUCACACACACACACACACACACACACACACACACACACACACACACACACACACACACACACACACACACACACACACACACACACACACACACACACACACACACACACACACACACACACACACACACACACACACACA
Gadus macrocephalus (Pacific cod) is the source of this 2768-nucleotide long non-coding RNA. RefSeq lists it as uncharacterized. The record is from RefSeq and is a predicted model, not a curated record. NCBI's taxonomy places the organism in Eukaryota, Metazoa, Chordata, Actinopteri, Gadiformes, Gadidae. The transcript is spliced from 2 exons.